GUGCAGAAGAAUUUUUGAGAUUGGGGUGUGGAUGAUCCUGUGGCAUGAUGCUUGGAGCAGACCAGGUAUCCCAUAUACUGAGAGAGUGAAGAUGGACAGACAAUGCCAACGAUGGUCAAGGGAGGUUGUGUCAAUGUACGAGCCAUUGGUUCAGAGCAGAACGAGACUGUAUUCUCCCUUGAAACUGCCAAAUGCAUGAGCCAUGGCAGCGCAGGGGCCUGCCUGAUGUGAAGCUGCUGCCACGACUGAAGGCAAGCAUUUUCCAAGAUGCCAUCUUACUCACAAAGAGCAGCAAGGAGAGGGGGUUCUCGGUCAUAACAUCUAGACGAGCCCCGGUGUACAAGACCAUUGAGGGAGACAAUUGCUGGAGGACAGGACUCUGCCAGUGCCUCUGCCUUCCUAGCAUCCUGUCACAAGAAUGAACCAGGUUGUGCAAAGUUACUAACCAUCCAGUGUUUGACAUCAGGAAGCCAGGGAGGCAGAGGAAGAAAACAGUCCCGGGUGGUCCAUUUGCACCGCAACACAGCUCUAUCCAAUGC
Long non-coding RNA from Branchiostoma belcheri (Belcher's lancelet), 539 nucleotides. RefSeq lists it as uncharacterized. The record is from RefSeq and is a predicted model, not a curated record. Lineage: Eukaryota; Metazoa; Chordata; Leptocardii; Amphioxiformes; Branchiostomatidae. The transcript has 4 exons.